GAUGAAGAACGCAGCGAAAUGCGAUAACUAAUGUGAAUUGCAGAAUUCCGUGAAUCAUCGAGUCUUUGAACGCACAUUGCGCCCCCUGGUAUUCCGGGGGGCAUGCCUGUCCGAGCGUCAUUGCUGCCCAUCAAGCACGGCUUGUGUGUUGGGUCCUCGUCCCCCCCGGGGGACGUGCCCGAAAGGCAGCGGCGGCACCGCGUCCGGUCCUCGAGCGUAUGGGGCUUUGUCACCCGCUCUGCAGGCCCGGCCGGCGCUGGCCGAUGCGAAAGCAACCAUUUUUUCUCCAGGUUGACCUCGGAUCAGGUAGGGAUACCCGCUGAACUUAAGCAUAUCAAUAAGCGGAGGA
This 349-nucleotide unclassified non-coding RNA is filed under the name soil metagenome. RNAcentral's name for it is "partial contains 5.8S ribosomal RNA, internal transcribed spacer 2, and large subunit ribosomal RNA". The stretch from base 1 to 120 matches the Rfam family "5.8S ribosomal RNA", at positions 35 to 154 of the family's 154-position model. The record is from RNAcentral.